Fukomys damarensis (Damara mole-rat) is the source of this 1306-nucleotide long non-coding RNA. RefSeq lists it as uncharacterized. Lineage: Eukaryota; Metazoa; Chordata; Mammalia; Rodentia; Bathyergidae. The record is from RefSeq and is a predicted model, not a curated record. The transcript has 4 exons.
GUUGUUGUCUCAAGAGAAAAUUAUACAAAGCUAUUAAAAACUUCUCCAGGAAGGUGCAUGGAUUUUUCUGUCAGAGAGAGCCUCAGCAGCCAGUUUGCCACAAGCAGCGAAGGCUUCAGUAAACAAGGCGCUGGAAAUGUGAUGUGGAUGAUGGAACUUAAAGAUAUCCCAGCAAAAGUGGAGAAGCAACUUUUGUUGUCAUAGUAUCUCCUUUUGUAUAAAAAUCGAUGGUAUGCCAUUAUUAUUACUAUAGGGAUACUUUAACAAAAGCUUGUUAUCUCUUGCUUCUGUCAGUGAACUUUGAGAAAGGUCAUCAUAGUGGAUUAUUUUCCCUAUAUAUUUGAAGGAUGUUUUUAUUUAAGUAGUGGCAGCAACACAAAAAAUAAAUCACAGUGCAUAUUAAGAUGAUCUAUGGAAACAAAGUAAUUUGUUUCCAAUGAACAAGUCAUUCCCCAAAUCAAGAAUUUUUUUCUUCUUUUGGGUUCAGUGACAGUUGUGUUGAUAACAUGGUACUCCUAUAUAAAAAGGGCAUUUUGAUCUUUUUUUCUCUUAUCGAGUUAGCUAAAUCAGAAACACACAAAGAAAGGAAAUUUAUAAUCAAAGGCUGUACCAAAAACAUUCCAUGUGACAAUAACAGGUUCAACUAAGUAAAACAAUUAUUAUUAAUUUAGUAAGUUUGCUACCAAUUAUUGCCUAGAGAAAAGGCGAAUUGGAUAAAUGAUUCUAAAAUAAAUUGUCGCACAGCGAAUGGAAAUACACAUUCAAACCAUCAUUGUGCUGCACCAAAAGGCUACAGAAGUUUAUACUGUGAGUUUCUCAAUCCAAUUAAAUAAGGGGAAGAUUUGUGUCACUUCCAUAUAUUGGCAGGCUAUAAUUUUGUUUUGGUCAAUAAUUUCAUCAUUGUUGAUUUAUGUGUUCGAGCUUUAUAUUUUAUCUGUGUUCAUUUUUAAAAAAUAGCACAUCUAGGUAUGAAAUCUGCAUUCUUUUCCUACGUACACAGCUAUGAAAGCACAUUACACAGUAGAAACAUAAUUAUCCUUAUAGAAUCCUGUUGAUUCAGAAAGAACUUGUCUCUGAUGAAAGGCUAAGUUCUAGAUAUAUGACCUUCCCUGUCUACUUGAGUUUUCCUUGGCACAGCAUUUAUGUGUCGGAGCUCACAAAUGAAUACAGUUACAUAGUAUAGAUUUCCCUGUUACAAAUAGUUCAAACACUAGGGUUCCACCUAGAAGGCUCCAUCAAAACUUUUUUCUGAAAUGAACACACAUUUCUCAGACAAAGAAGUAAAAGCAGCAAGUAAAUAUAUGAA